This 18-nucleotide small nuclear RNA is filed under the name Arabidopsis thaliana (thale cress). RNAcentral describes it as "snRNA_15966". Lineage: Eukaryota; Viridiplantae; Streptophyta; Magnoliopsida; Brassicales; Brassicaceae. The record is from RNAcentral.
AUAACUGGCUUGUGGCAG